UAACAAUCACAAAAUAGCAAGCAUUAGUUCAUAGUUUCAUACGUCUUAUGCACAUGAUAAGUUUGUAUAAGAAGAUGUUCAAAGAGGAUGCGAUUUCACAUAUCAUCUGCUACAACUUCAUUUUAUAACUUGGACAUAAUGUAGUUGACAAGUUCAUUAUAUCAUCAGUGGUUAGAAAGAUAUUCUUGUAACAUAAGAAUCAGCAAUUUCUGUUUCGUGACUUGCGAUUUAAGUUUUGCUAUAGUGAGGAGGUAGAGGAGGAAUUUUGCCAGAACUGGUGCAAGCCCAAGAAGAAGGCUUUCGCAAAGUACUCCAAGACCUAUGAAACUGACGAAGGAAAGAAGGAUAUUGAAGGACAGCUUGAGAAACUGAUUAAAUAUGCUACAGUUAUUCGAGUUUUGGCUCACACUCAGAUCAGGAAGAUGAAGGGUUUGAAGCAGAAGAAAGCACAUCUCAUGGAGAUCUAGGUGAAUGGUGGCCCAAUUGCUCAAAAGGUUGAAUUUGCAAAGAGCUUCUUUGAGAAGCAGAUCCCUAUUGAUGCCGUCUUCCAGAAAGAUGAAAUGAUUGACAUCAUUGGUGUGACAAAGGGUAAGGGUUAUGAAGGGUUUGAAGCAGAAGAAAGCACAUCUCAUGGAGAUCCAGGUGAAUGGUGGCACAAUUGCUCAAAAUGUUGAAUUUGCAAAGAGCUUCUUUGAGAAGCAAAUCCCUAUUGAUGCCGUCUUCCAGACAGAUGAAAUGAUUGAGAUCAUUGGUGUGACAAAGGGUGGGUUAUGAAGGUGUUGUUACUCGUUGGGGUGUCACCCAGCUUCCCCGUAAGACCCAUAGGGGUCUGCAUAAGGUUGCUUGUAUUGGUGCAUGGCAUCCUGCCAGAGUUUCAUUUACAGUUGCCAGGGCUGUAACUGG
RNA transcript from Rosa rugosa (rugosa rose), 903 nucleotides. It is a transcript of the gene named large ribosomal subunit protein uL3z-like, with no coding region annotated. The transcript has 3 exons. Lineage: Eukaryota; Viridiplantae; Streptophyta; Magnoliopsida; Rosales; Rosaceae. The record is from RefSeq and is a predicted model, not a curated record.